GCGGGACUGCGGGGCUAGGGCAGCCUGCAGGGUCCCGUCUGGAGCCGGGUGAGAAGGGGCUGCCCGACCCAUGCUUCUGUCCGCCCCUGACCCUCGGCCUGCCGCUCUGUUUUGGGGGACUGUGCCCACCUGCCCUGUGGCACAUCGUGGGAGCGAUGCUCGGGCAGAGUGGUAAAAUCAUGUGGUCCCGGCAUUGAAAAACGCCUUCUUCUGAAUGAGGACUAAACGGAGUUCAGAAGUAUCCUACCACAGCUCUGUCUGCCUGGCACCAAUAGAAGACAUACUUCUGAAAGUGUUAUAAAAAUAAUUCCCCUGUCACAAAAGCAGCACAUUAAAAGUACUUAUAUUAAAAGCA
Lonchura striata (white-rumped munia) is the source of this 355-nucleotide non-coding RNA. The record is from RefSeq and is a predicted model, not a curated record. NCBI's taxonomy places the organism in Eukaryota, Metazoa, Chordata, Aves, Passeriformes, Estrildidae.